Molecule: ribosomal RNA, 229 nt
Filed under: uncultured bacterium
Lineage: Bacteria
Description: partial 16S ribosomal RNA
Rfam family: Bacterial small subunit ribosomal RNA
Source: RNAcentral
UGCGCAGGCGGCCUGUUAAGUCAGGGGUGAAAUAUGACGGCUCAACCGUCAAACUGCCCCUGAAACUGAUAGGCUUGAGUCCGAGAGAGGUAGGUGGAAUUCCAGGUGUAGCGGUGAAAUGCGUAAAUAUCUGGAGGAACACCGGUGGCGAAGGCGGCCUACUGGCUCGGAACUGACGCUCAGGCACGAAAGCAUGGGGAGCGAACAGGAUUAGAUACCCUGGUAGUCC